GAUGAACGCUGGCGGCGUGCCUAACACAUGCAAGUCGAACGAGAAACUCCGGGCUUGCUCGGAGGAGUAAAGUGGCGCACGGGUGAGUAACGCGUGGGUAACCUGCCCCAGAAUCUGGGAUAACAUCGCGAAAGCGUUGCUAAUACCGGAUAUCGUCCUUAAAACUGUGGUUUUUUGGGAUGAAAGAUGACCUCUCCAUGGAAGUUGUCGUUCAGGGAGGGGCCCGCGUACCAUUAGCUUGUUGGUCGGGUAAUGGCCUACCAAGGCGACGAUGGUUAGCUGGUCUGAGAGGAUGAUCAGCCACACUGGAACUGAAACACGGUCCAGACUCCUACGGGAGGCAGCAGUGAGGAAUUUUGCGCAAUGGGGGAAACCCUGACGCAGCAACGCCGCGUGAGUGAAGAAGGCCCUCGGGUCGUAAAGCUCUGUCAAGGGGGAAAAACCCCUUUCGAUUAAUAGUCGGGAGGACUGAUGGUACCCCUAGAGGAAGCACCGGCUAACUCCGUG
Molecule: ribosomal RNA, 507 nt
Filed under: uncultured bacterium
Lineage: Bacteria
Description: bacterial SSU rRNA
Rfam family: Bacterial small subunit ribosomal RNA
Source: RNAcentral